AGCGAACGCUGGCGGCAGGCUUAACACAUGCAAGUCGAGCGGGCGUAGCAAUACGUCAGCGGCAGACGGGUGAGUAACGCGUGGGAACAUACCUUUUGGUUCGGAACAACACAGGGAAACUUGUGCUAAUACCGGAUAAGCCCUUACGGGGAAAGAUUUAUCGCCGAAAGAUUGGCCCGCGUCUGAUUAGCUAGUUGGUGAGGUAACGGCUCACCAAGGCGACGAUCAGUAGCUGGCUGAGAGGAUGAUCAGCCACAUUGGGACUGAGACACGGCCCAAACUCCUACGGGAGGCAGCAGUGGGGAAUAUUGGACAAUGGGCGCAAGCCUGAUCCAGCCAUGCCGCGUGAGUGAUGAAGGCCCUAGGGUUGUAAAGCUCUUUUGUGCGGGAAGAUAAUGAC
RNAcentral lists this ribosomal RNA (400 nucleotides) under uncultured bacterium. RNAcentral's name for it is "bacterial SSU rRNA". It matches the Rfam family "Bacterial small subunit ribosomal RNA", at positions 29 to 455 of the family's 1533-position model. The record is from RNAcentral.